GAUCCUGGCUCGGGACGAACGCUGGCGGCGCGCCUAACACAUGCAAGUCGAACGAGAGAGAGGGAGCUUGCUUCCUCAAUCGAGUGGCGAACGGGUGAGUAACGCGUGAGGAACCUGCCUCAAAGAGGGGGACAACAGUUGGAAACGACUGCUAAUACCGCAUAAGCCCACAGGUCGGCAUCGACCAGAGGGAAAAGGAGCAAUCCGCUUUGAGAUGGCCUCGCGUCCGAUUAGCUAGUUGGUG
RNAcentral lists this ribosomal RNA (244 nucleotides) under uncultured bacterium. RNAcentral describes it as "partial 16S ribosomal RNA". It matches the Rfam family "Bacterial small subunit ribosomal RNA", at positions 15 to 254 of the family's 1533-position model. The record is from RNAcentral.